This 362-nucleotide transfer-messenger RNA is filed under the name Gammaproteobacteria bacterium. It matches the Rfam family "transfer-messenger RNA". Rfam says of the family: Bacterial tmRNA, also known as 10Sa RNA or SsrA, is named for its dual tRNA and mRNA-like properties. Lineage: Bacteria; Pseudomonadati; Pseudomonadota; Gammaproteobacteria. RNAcentral also lists the same sequence under 2 other names. The record is from RNAcentral.
GGGGGCGCUUUGGAUUCGACGCCGGUUACAAACCCUGAGGUGCAUGCCGAGAGAGUAUAGGCUCUCGUAAAUCAAUCUAUGCAACUUUAUAGUUGCCAACGACGAAAACUACGCUCUAGCAGCUUAAUAUAGCCGCUAGCGAUUGCCACAGGGAUGCCUGUAAACCAGUGUUUAGCAAUCGUCAUAUAGAACAGGAUCGCGCCGCUGAGAGUCUGACUCCAGAGCGUUAAAGAAUCUUCAGACUCGCUUCGAACACCCUGCACGUUGGGUCGUGAGAAGUUAACUUAAUAAACGAUGCUAUGCAUGUAGAGCCGAAGGCAGAGGACUGACGGACGGGGGUUCAACUCCCCCCGCCUCCACCA